GAUGAACGCUAGCGGCAGGCCUAAUACAUGCAAGUCGGACGGGAUUCAGGAGCUUGCUUCUGAUGAGAGUGGCGCACGGGUGCGUAACACGUAUGUAACCUACCUUUAUCAGGGGGAUAGCCUCUCGAAAGAGAGAUUAAGCCCGCAUAAAAUCACAGCACAGCAUUGUGUAAUGAUCAAAUAUUUAUAGGAUAAAGAUGGGCAUGCGGAACAUUAGCUAGAUGGCGGGGUAACGGCCCACCAUGGCGACGAUGUUUAGGGGAUCUGAGAGGAUGGCCCCCCACACUGGUACUGAGACACGGACCACACUCCUACGGGAGGCAGCAGUAAGGAAUAUUGGUCAAUGGGCGGAAGCCUGAACCAGCCAUGCCGCGUGCAGGAAGACGGCCCUACGGGUUGUAAACUGCUUUUAUACGGGAAUAAACCCAGAUACGUGUAUCUGGCUGAAUGUACUGUAAGAAUAAGGAUCGGCUAACUCCGUG
This 482-nucleotide ribosomal RNA is filed under the name uncultured bacterium. RNAcentral describes it as "partial 16S ribosomal RNA". It matches the Rfam family "Bacterial small subunit ribosomal RNA", at positions 28 to 507 of the family's 1533-position model. The record is from RNAcentral.